Molecule: non-coding RNA, 5529 nt
Organism: Lolium perenne
Lineage: Eukaryota; Viridiplantae; Streptophyta; Magnoliopsida; Poales; Poaceae
Source: RefSeq, a predicted model, not a curated record
UUCCGGAGAAAGUAUCUAGUGCUACAUGGGCUAUGGGUGGUACCAGUUUCCCCACGAAUCUGGACCGCACAACAUGGAUCAAGGGACAGGAUUGAACGUAACAUCCCACCCUGGCACAUAUGCAUAUUGGACCCUCCUGUUACUCUAAUUUGUGGUACAUGAUCCUCAUUUCCAGUCUCUCCCCACUGAGCACAUCGCCCCCAAAUCGUCCUAGGGUUAAAGGAGGCGAGACGCAGCCGGAGCUUGUCAAGGUGCCGCCGCCGGAGCUUGUCAAGGUGCCGCCGCCCGAGCUGAACCAACUGGCGGUCGCCUAGUACGGAUCUGGACCAACUCUCCGUCGCUAGUGGCAGCCGCUGCAGCCAUGGAGCUGUACGAAGCUGGACCGACCUCUGGCGCCGCUGCCUCACGAGAAGUCGUGCUAACGCGCAACAUGGAAAACUGCGAGGGUCUUUGGAGGCUGCAGCCGAACUCACCAAAGAAGGCCCAGCUACAACAAGAUUUGUGGCACUCCCGGAUGAAUCGCACAUUGGAGCGGCGCUUCUGCAUAUUCCGUCUCCAUUCGGGAAUGGAGCCACCGAGGAUGCGACAAGUUCCGGCGGGCGGUACAGAACCAGAGAUGUGGCCGUGUGGUCGACGGGCACAUGCAUCUGGAACAUCUCCGUAGGUCGCGCUGGAGGAUGGGAUGGGCGGUCCGGCCCUGUGCUCGGUGGUGGCGGAAGGUUGAGCUCCGGCUGCAUCACUCUCCUAACCCUAGUCACGAUUUUGGGGAUGAUUCGACUGUGCGAGCGGCAGUACAGAUAUUGGAAAUUAUGGACCAGGUGGAACAAAUUCGAAUAAAAGAAGGGACUCAUUUGUAUAUGUGCCACGGUGGGAUAUCCAUCUCAGAGUUGUGUUCGAUCCUGUCCCUUGAUCCAUGUUGUGCGGUCCAGAUUCAUGGGGAAACCGGUACCACCCAUAGCCUAUGUAGCACUAGAUACUCUCUCUAGGAUUCCGCUCUCCUUGGCCAGGCCGCCGCCAAUGACCAUCGUGCUCACUCUCCCUGCUCUCGCACUGCUCAGCUGAUGCCCUCACAACUCUCCCCUCCGCCUUCACUCCCCUCCGUAUCGUUGGGAACUUGCCCACCAAAGUCCAAGUGGAGGAGGCGCCGCCAUGACCCAGUCCUCCCCUCCCUAUUCGCGACGAUGAAGAGCUCGCAUGGAGGACAACGGCAGGGCGCCCACAUCGUGCGAACCUAGCGUUGCUGAAGACGGCCGGCGUCCGUGCUCCGGAACUGGGCAGGGAGGCCUCGAUCUCGGUCUGCAGGUGCAUGGAUCCGAGAGGCCCCAUAUGGAUUGUUCAUUUGAUUUUUUUUUCAGUUAAAACAAUCCGAUUUGUUUCUGCUGUUUUCCCAGAGUUUCUUGUUCAUAUUGCUUCAGCCUGAUUCCUAACGUCAAUUCUAUUGGUAGCAUUGGUGGCCCAGACGGAAGUAGUAAGCACGAGGGACAGCCGGCCGAAGGACCUACAGACUUUGUGGUUCACUUGGACAAUCAUACAUUUCAGCACGCACAACAGGAUGAAGCACUACUAGGAUGUAUUUGUUGUUGGCGUGUUCUUAGUUUUCCCAAGGGGAAUAACGUGGAUCACUUAUCAAUUUACUUGGCACUCAGCCAACCUCCGAUAUGGUUGGAGCCAAUCUUCAUGCCAGUUGUUUGCCGAAUCCGAAUACACGUUUAGUUCUGGAGGAGAGCACAGGAUAUGGGGGCAGCGUAGCAGGGGUCAUGAACAAUGACAGCUGAUUCUGUCUGGUUGUGUUGAGGUCAACAACUCAACGUCACUUACAUUUGUGCUAUUUUCAUGAUAAAGGGGAAAAGGAGUGGUACUUAUGCUAUGGUCGUAAUUGAAUUCCACAUAACUCAGUUCAGUGAUUGGGCGAAUCCGUUAGCUGCUGAAGAUUCUUAUGUAAUUUACACACUAAGAUUUUCUGAUCCUUGUUACUAUGUUAGUAGUAGAGAUAAUCGUCGUUGCAGGAUAUAUGUAAUUUCUAAAAUUUGUUCUUAUCUUUGCCUCAUAAUCUAAAUGUUGUGCGAUAAGGUGUAUAUAGGUAAUCAGUAAUUUCUUGUACUCUUUAAUAAGGAAAGGGCAUAAGGAUUUCUUUUUGCAGUAACCAUUAUGAACAAGAUAUGAGUUUUCUGUUCUAUAUUGCAAAUAAAUAAAUCUCCGCGAGAUAAACUAAAUUGGCACCUUCCAGAUUCAUGAUUCACAUAUUAUACAAGUUAUUAUCCAUUCAUUUAUCGAUGUGUUAUACUUUUUUACUUAGUUCCUAUACUUGAUGAAAAACAUGAAGUGAGAUUGUGAGUUCUGUUUAACCCAUGAAUGAAGUAAAAUUCUAUUUAGGUCACUAUUCUUAAAAAUCUUACACUAUUUGCUUGACAUAUUGUCACGCGUGCCACGUAUUUAGAUUUCCAACAGAAGGCUGUAAUCAAGCACCAGGAAAAAGAUCCUCAAAUUCUGAUUAUUUGAUUGCCUAUUCAAGGUACGUAUUUAUGGGAUUUUAUCUUUCUUUUUGCGCAUUGCUUUAUGAAGCGAUGUGAGUUCUUUGGAAGUUAUUAUAGAAAGUUUUCUCGUGAAAAUCUUCCUCAAGUUCCAAAAGUUUCUUUAUGAAGUUAUAUAAUGACAAUUAGACUACUAAUAGUAUCACUUUUGCUGAUAGACUAUUGCUUCCUUGCUCUAAUAUGUGAUUGCACCUGAAAUGACAUUCACGUUCUGCUUCCUGGUUAGCUCUUGGUCAACUUUACACCUGAAAUGACAUCAAGCUUUUCUUCAGUUCAUGAAAUUAGAUACCGGGGUAUUUGAAGAUGUGUCUAUGAUUCAGAGGUAAAUUAUUCCAUCCCCGACCUGCUGUCAGGUCCUAAAAGUUGAUUUUGUUUUGGUUAUGGCUUGUGUUGUAUCAAAAUAAGUAAGUAGAUUUAUUGUGAAGAUUAAGAUUGUUGUCAAGAUCGUGAUCCCUUGUUGCUUAUGUAAGUCUUUCAAGAUGAGGCGACCAUUUCUUCUGUUAAGUCUUUCGAGAAGAGCUGCCUAAAUCUUUAUUCAAUCGCUUGUUCAAAGCAACUAAUGGAAUUCUUUUGCCGGCCUCUUCGAAAAAAAUAUGUAAGUUUAUGGCUAAUUAUUUUGAGUGACAUUUUCUUCCCAUAUGGAAAAAGAAUAUAUAUAUAGAGCUGGACUAUUCUCGAACCCCCUUAAGAGGGGUUGUAGAAUAGCUAUUCUCAAACCCCCUAUUCCCGCUUUAGUUUCUUAUCCCAAAACCGCCCCAUCUGAACGCCCGAGAAAAGCAGGUACCACCGCCCACGCGGAACCACCUCGGGCUGACCCAAACGCCCCCCAUCGCUCGUCAACCCCCACGCGACCCAGUCGCCCGCCUGUGCCCCUUCCACGAGCUCCGGCGUGCCGCCGGCGGGUCAGCGAGCCACCUCCCCGACCUCCCAUGCCCCGCGGCGGGCCACACUCCCUCAACCACCUUCUGCGCUGCGUUGGCAGGCCACCGUGCACCCCGCGCCGCCCUCCCCUUCUAGGAUGAGGGCAUCCGUCCCGGCGCCGCCAAAUUCGCCUCCAAAUCGCGCGCAUCCCGCCCGGCGAUGCCCUGCCGCGCGCACCGAUAGGUUCUCCACUCUGCCUCAUGCGCUCCCCUUCCCUGGUAGCCCCCCCGCCCCCUUCUUCCCUGAUGGAUCCGAUGGAUCUCUGGCCGGAUUACCUCCACGCCACUGCCGCCGGCGCCCUCCACUGCUAGGAGUUCACCUUCCCCUGGCCCGAUCUGGAGCACACCGGCAUAGCCCACCCUUCCCUCCUCGUCCACAUGCCCCCGGAGCCUUUCUGAACCCCCGUGGUACUUGCGCGAGCAACGACCAUCCCUGGCCAUCUGUGUUGUUGCUGGAUGCACGACGCCUGCCUUUGUGGCUGCCCCUAUUCUGCUUUUGGGCCGUGGGUGCGGCUCCUAUCCCGGCACGCUGUUUCACUUCCUUCUUUCCCUGAACUAAUGCGUGAAGUCUAGAAGUUCAGCUCGUCCUAAUGCCUGUAGUUGGCUUUUAAAUACUUCAGGUUAUGGAUGACUCUGUUCCUUUUCUUUUAGCCGGUAUAUCAUGGGUGCACUGCACGGUGUGCAUUUCUUUCGUGAGGGAGUUCGCCUCUCUGUAGGAUUGCUUUAGUUACAUUUUUUUGGAUAAAACCAUUUCCUGCUAGUUGAUGUAGAAUUGUCGGCGAUGCUUAAACUUCUGAAUACAGCUGCAGGUGUGCUGAGAUUUUUAUACAAAUGGUGUAUUCGUGAUUUAUAUUCGCCAAAGUUUAGAUAAUUACAUCACACAAACUAAUUUCAUAAUUUUUUUGCAUCUGGUCCACCAAGAGAGCCACCGCUAGGAGUGCCUGCACCGUUGGGUGCUAUUUCUGACUUGCUCCAGCUGCUGAACUGAACUGGCAGUGCACUUAUGACACCUAUGGGGAGUUCACUAGCGCUCAUCGCUAGAUUUCGCCAGGAACCAUGGCGGGAGUCCAACUUGAAGCGCAGCACCCGCAGGUUGUGGGUACUAUUCUGAUUCUCGAGAGGAAGUUCACUUUGGAUUGAAAAAUAGUUCUAUCAGGACGCACAUGGAGCCCUCCAAUUGAAGAAGUUAUCUAGUCAGUUUGAAGCCUCCAUCUGUGAUGUGCGGCCCACGACUAGGAAGGCUUCCAUGCAGCCGCAGGGAGUCCUAACCAUUUGAAGUGUGAAGAAUAGCUGGACUCUCAUGCCCAGGCAAGUGAGGACACCAUGGACCUGCCGUGUGUGGAUGUUGCAGGGCAUGAGGUGGAGCAGGAGAGUCCUGUGCCGAUGUUGCACAAGGCUCGUUGGAACUCCGGAUUAGACAUAUGCAGUAGUUCACUUGCUCAUCGUGGGAAUGCCUCAUUCGGCAAAGACAGAAGUUCACUUACACGAUGAAGUAGGGGUGAUGCACCAGGUUCUGGAGUUAAGUUCUGCCAUUUUUCUGCAGUUUAGUUUAUUUGUUUCUCAGUUCAGUUUUUCCCUUUCCUGAAGUUCAGUUCAUCAUAAUGUGUCAAGUUCACUUGUCAUAAGCUAUGUGUUGUACUGUUGCCUGCAGGAUGACGUGCAAUUUCAAGGAAAGUAUGAUUUGUGGCAGGCUGUGAAUGGUAACCAGUAGACGUAGUAAUAACAUGUAUAUCGCGUUUGACCUCUCUGAACCACCUUCAAGAUGUGCGCCUUACCAGCUUCAGGGGAUGACUGAGCGUGGCUCACUGAGUACUUCGCCAAGAGUUCUGCAUCCUGUUCUAGUUUGACCUCUCUUUAAUUUUUAUUUUUACAUUAUGGCGUGAUCUCCAGCCACGGCACAUUGAUGGAGGCAUGCGCCACAGCCUUGGACAUGCAAGUAUUUACAAAAUAAUGAUUAUGUUACUUGGCAACCUAAUGGUACUUCCAAAUAUGCAUCAAAACAAUGUCAUUGUGGGAGUUUUCUUUCAUUUUUUUGUUGUAAUAAUUUCACUUUGAUAUGACAGGCUGAUGUUUUUUCU